This is an RNA transcript of Triticum aestivum (bread wheat), 2027 nucleotides long. RefSeq lists it as uncharacterized. The record is from RefSeq and is a predicted model, not a curated record. The transcript is spliced from 4 exons. NCBI's taxonomy places the organism in Eukaryota, Viridiplantae, Streptophyta, Magnoliopsida, Poales, Poaceae.
UUCCUUUCCCGAUAAAAAAAAUUUAAAGCAUCCAUAUUAUCUCUCUCAAUCUCUCACGUCUCUGUUCAUAUUCUCAUGGAAAAGAGAUCCAGGUCUCUCUUAGAUUGGAACAACGAAGUUGGUCAUCGAUCCCACUCUCAAUCUCUCAUGUCUGUCUCUCUCUCCCUCAAACUCUCAUCUCUCUUCCUCUCCACAAGCAGAUCUCUAUCUCUCCCAAUUGCAAAUUUGCAGCAAGGACGUUAGGCCAUGCAUUCUGCGCUCAUCUCCACAUGGAAACAGAUCGUGUCUCUCCCAAUUUGCAGCAAGGAAUUUAGGGCAUGCAUCUCCUGCGCUCAUGGAGCUUAUUACAGUAAAAUUAUUUUCCUCAUCUAGAUCAAGUUCGUAUUCUCAGUCCUUGCACUAAUUUAUUUUCAAUUUCUUUUUGUCGGUAUGGAUUCAAUUCUUUUUUCAGGUUCGUCUUCUCAGUCCUCACACUAAUUUGUUUUGAAUUUCUUUUUGCCAGUUCGGAUUCAGUUGUCUUCAUCGUGCCCUUUAAUAGUGUUGUAUAGGGAUUCAAUCUCCUUUAUCGUGUGUCUUCUUGAAGCUGAUGAUUUCCAUGGCAAAAUAAAAUCAGUGUUCUCGAUCCCUGGAAAAACAAAACAAAAAAAAUCUUUCUGUAGCGCACAUAAAAGAAACAUGUACCUUAUAUGUAGAAAAAGACACGUCCAAGUACAACUCCAAUCCUUCCAAUACGGAUGGAUCUCUAUUUUCUCACUAAUUGACCCUAUCAUUGACUCUUUGCUGUGAUUUGGCUUCCCCAAUCAUAGUUUUCUCAAUCCCUCAACCAAGAUGGGCAGGGGGUGGGGGAUAUGGAGAAGGACGGAGCUCCUGUUGUGGUUGGUGCCGUCGCAAAUGGUGGAUGUUGACCAUGCUGUCCCAUGGAGGGAAGGUAAUCUUGAAGAACCAUUAUCUCGUAAAGACAUUGACCAUCCACUCAGCACAACAGCAGGUUUCUAGGCCACGAUGGUUUAUGGAUCCAAGGAGUAGAUGCACUGACUGCAGUUUGAAGCCAAUGAAUGAAUAAUUGCAGGUCUGCUUCUACGGCUAACGUAACCCAUCAUUACUAUCUUCCAGAUUUCAUAUAUUUAUUAUCACUAGAUGAAUUCAGCAUUUGAGGAUGCGCACAUGGUGUAUAUUCUAAUGAAGGAAGCCUAGGAACAAGCAUAUUUACGACAUACAUGGAGAAGAUGGUGUCCAAUAAAGGGAAAAGUAGCAAAGUAAAACAUGAUUAGUUUAGAGUGACAUGAAAGUAGACUAUCUUUCAACAAUAGGUGGAUUCUUAAGAUAAGGACAGGUGUACAACGCAAGAGCUAUAAUAAGGCCUAACAUGGUUGCUGGAAGAUAUAUUUGUACAAUAAUAGGCAUGCACAUGCAGCUGUAGUAAAAAGAGUUAAUAACUUAAUAUGAGAUAUUCAAUUCCAGUGCCUGAAUGAAAAUAGCUGAACAAAUUUCUGUAAUAUAGCAGCCCAAUAGUUUGUAUAAAUACGGAUGCAUGCAGGUGAUGAUAGACACUAUAUCAUGUCUGAUCCAUAAGUAAGUGUGUGUUGUGCAUUAAGUUUUCGAUUCUUUGUGAUAUGUUUUGAUUAGUUCUGUAGCAUCCAGUUUAACAUCUUAUGUCGCAGACAUUUGGUGAAGUAUCAGAAAGGAGAGUCUUUCAUUAAUUCUGCGUUACCAUGAUGGUAUGUAAGGUGAGCAAAAAUAAAAUUUGUGGCCUUAAUUCCCAACAACUCUCAAGGAAAGUAAGAUGAGUCAUAUUAAUAGAUAGUGUUGUCAGGGACCUUGAUAGUAUCUCUCAGACGAGUACCACUUUAUAUGGGAUAGGAGAUGCUUGAUCCAUGAAUAAAAUAACUUGGAGCUCCUGUUUAGAGCGUCUACUAAAUUAUUGGUUCAUCCAUCUAAAUGUUUUUACAAAAACGGGCCUUUUUUAGCCGCAAACCGUAGAACAAUAGUUCUACGGUAUAUUUUCAUUAAAAUAAUAGUAUGUUACA